This 723-nucleotide long non-coding RNA is filed under the name Citrus sinensis (sweet orange). Its description in RNAcentral is "long non-coding RNA (CSIN_LNC004672)". The record is from RNAcentral. Lineage: Eukaryota; Viridiplantae; Streptophyta; Magnoliopsida; Sapindales; Rutaceae.
GAAAUUCUUAUACUAUAAUCCCAUUAAUAUAAUAAAAAAUUAUAUCGAACUACAAUCUCGUAAUUUUUCCCACUAUAAAUUUUUUAUGUAAAAAUCUAUAACUCUUAUAAUUAAUUUUUACUUUAAAUUUAUUAAUUUAUUUUUCACCUAUUUAUUUAUGAUAAACAUCCUAUUUUAAUCAGAUAAGGAGAAAAAAAAUUAUUUCCGUAAGUAGUCCUUUCCCAACAUAAUUCUAUACAUAAAUUUCUCAAUUUAUUUAUGCACUUAAAAAGCUGGACAUGUAGAUCACAAAACCUUAACAUACACAUUGCGCUAGGCACACAUCAUUAUAAUUACAGGAUCUGAACAUCAAUGACCUUGCGCUCCACAUGGGUCUUAGGAAUUGAAAUGUAAAGAACACCAUUCUUCAGCUCUGCAUCUCAAUUUAUUUAUACACUUACAAAGCUGGACAUGUAGAUCACAAAACCUCAACAUACACAUUUCGCUAGGCACUCAUUAUUAUAAUUACAGAAUCUGAACAUCAAUGACCUUGCGCUCCACCUUUGUCUUAGGAAUUGAAAUGUAAAGAACACCAUUCUUGAGCUCUGCCUUGACCUUAUCUUUCUCACAGUUAUCAGGAAGCUGGAGACGAGUAUCGUAAGAGCUAAAACUUGCACCUCCAGCUUCUUCUGCCCUGUGCUCUCCUUUAAUGACAAGGACUUCAUCUUCCACCGACACUUUGAC